UGGUGGUGGAGAUGGUUUCACGAUUGGUGGUGUAACAACCGGAGGAUUUGGCACGUAGGGUGGUGGUGUUACCACUGGAGGGUUGGGUACAAAAGGUGGUGAAACGACUGGGGGUGUUGGUGCUGGUGGUUUUGGAGUGAAAGGGGGUGAAACAACAGGUGGUUUUGGAAUGACUGGUGGUGAAACAACAGGCGGUGUUGGUGCUGGUGGUUUUGGAGUGAAAGGUGGUGAAACAACAGGUGGUUUUGGAAUGACUGGUGGUGAAACAACCGGUGGUGUUGGUGCUGGUGGUUUUGGAGUGACUGGGGGUGAAACAACAGGUGGUGUUGGUGAUGGUGGUUUAGGCACAUAAGGUGGACUGACAGUGGGAGGUGGAUGUACUACUGGUGGUUUUGGGACAUAUGGAGGUUUUACAUGAG
RNAcentral lists this long non-coding RNA (419 nucleotides) under Nicotiana tabacum (common tobacco). Its description in RNAcentral is "long non-coding RNA (NTAB_LNC002472)". Lineage: Eukaryota; Viridiplantae; Streptophyta; Magnoliopsida; Solanales; Solanaceae. The record is from RNAcentral.